This 254-nucleotide ribosomal RNA is filed under the name uncultured bacterium. RNAcentral describes it as "partial 16S ribosomal RNA". It matches the Rfam family "Bacterial small subunit ribosomal RNA", at positions 524 to 776 of the family's 1533-position model. The record is from RNAcentral.
UACGGGGGGGGGCAAGCGUUGUUCGGAAUUACUGGGCGUAAAGGGCUCGUAGGCGGCCAACUAAGUCAGACGUGAAAUCCCUCGGCUUAACCGGGGAACUGCGUCUGAUACUGGAUGGCUAGAGGUUGGGAGAGGGAUGCGGAAUUCCAGGUGUAGCGGUGAAAUGCGUAGAUAUCAGAAGGAACAUCAGUGGCGAAGGCGGCUUCCUGGACCAAUACUGACGAUCAGGUGCGAAAGCGUGGGGAGCAAACAGG